AGGUGCAGUAGGGAGACUGGAAUUCCUGGUGUUACGGUGGAAUGCGCAGAUAUCAGGAGGAACACCGAUGGCGAAGGGAGGUCUCUGGGCUGUAACUGACGCUGAGGAGCGAAAUGCAUGGGGAGCGAACAGGAUUAGAUACCCUGGUAGUCCAUGCCGUAAACGUUGGGCACUAGGUGUGGGGACCAUUCCACGGUUUCCGCGCCGCAGUAA
Molecule: ribosomal RNA, 213 nt
Filed under: uncultured bacterium
Lineage: Bacteria
Description: partial 16S ribosomal RNA
Rfam family: Bacterial small subunit ribosomal RNA
Source: RNAcentral